GCGAAAGCUCCCUUCGGGGAGCAAGUAGAGUGGCGCACGGGUGAGUAACACGUAGGUAAUCUACCUUUGGAUGGGGAAUAACAACCGGAAACGGUUGCUAAUACCGCAUAAUGCAGCGGCACCUAAUGGUGACAGUUGUUAAAGCGGGGGAUCGAAAGACCUCGCGUCUGAAGAGGAGCCUGCGGCAGAUUAGCUAGUUGGUAAGGUAACGGCUUACCAAGGCGAUGAUCUGUAGCCGGCCUGAGAGGGCGGUCGGCCACACUGACACUGACAUACGGGUCAGACUCCUACGGGAGGCAGCAGUCGGGAAUUUUGGGCAAUGGGCGAAAGCCUGACCCAGCAACGCCGCGUGAAGGAUGAAAUCCCUCGGGAUGUAAACUUCGCAAGAACGGGAAGAAUAAGUAAGGGUUAAUAUCCCUUACGAUGACGGUACUGUUUGUAAGCUCCGGCUAACUCCGUGCCAGCAGCUGCGGUAAUACGGGGGGAGCAAGCGUUGUUCGGAUUUACUGGGCGUAAAGGGCGCGUAGGCGGCCUCUGCAAGUCGACUGUGAAAUCUCCGGGCUUAACCCGGAAAGGUCAGCCGAUACUGCAGGGCUAGAGUGCAGAAGGGGCAACUGGAAUUCUCGGUGUAGCGGUGAAAUGCGUAGAUUUCGAGAGGAACACCUGCGGCGAAGGCGGGUUGCUGGGCUGACACUGACGCUGAUGCGCGAAAGCUAGGGGAGCGAACGGGGAUUAGAUACCCCGGUAGUCCUAGCCUUAACGAUGAAUGCUUGGUGUCU
RNAcentral lists this ribosomal RNA (779 nucleotides) under uncultured Actinomycetes bacterium. RNAcentral describes it as "bacterial SSU rRNA". It matches the Rfam family "Bacterial small subunit ribosomal RNA", at positions 66 to 825 of the family's 1533-position model. The record is from RNAcentral. Lineage: Bacteria; Bacillati; Actinomycetota; Actinomycetes.